GCCCAAAGUUCACACAUCUCAUUACAUGGAUCAGUCAAAAUUCAAACUCAGUUUUCUAAUUCUAAAAACAAUCUUGAUAAUCUAUCAAUUUGUUACACUAUUUUUCUGGUCAUUUUAAGAAUUUAUUAUUUGAAACUUAAAACACUACUCCUUAACUAUCUGAUGUAUAGAGUACUCUUUUGAUUAUAAUUGACAAAAACACACACAUUCAAACAAGCUUAAUCAACAAAGAAAUGUAUUCACUCAUGUAGUAGAAAACCUCAGGGGGUGCUUUCUGUACAAGCCUGGCUGCUGUCAUGCCCUGCAAUGGUAAUGUAAGAAUUUUGCCUCUCUCAUUCCAUAUUUGUUCUAUUAUUUUCUGUGUUGACUUUGUUUUCAGUCUGACUUUUCUACACAUUUGGAAAGAUGGCUGUUAGCAGCUCCAGGCCAAUAUAGCAUGCAAUUCCAGAUCUGAGAAAAGCAAAAUUCUUUCUUUUCCACCAUUCAUACUAAUCCCUUAAAAGAGUUUUUGGGUCCUAGCUGGGACAUGUACCUUUCUGAGGUAUACUUUGACCUCUCUUCUUAAACCUCCAAAUUUUUCUGCCCUUCCUCUCUCAGCUAAUAUUCUUGUUUUUCAUUUUACAGGGAAAAUGAAAGCAGCCAAAAGAGAAUUUCCUGAUGCUCCCACCAUCAAAUCCAUCAGCAUGCCUGCAUCUGAAAUCACAUUCUUUGCUUUCCUUCCUUUGAGAGUGGCUGGUCUGUCAGUAAUUCUAGCAAAGACCACACCACAUCCUAUCCUCUUACCAGAGAGCAUUUUCCUGAAAAUGACCAUUUCUGCAUUCCCCCUUAUGUUUUCCCCUAUACUGAAUCAUUCCAGUUAUCAUUUGUUUCAAAUGAAGAAUUAUAAUUCAAGUAUUUCUUUUAGUGCAAUGAGUGAGAGAUAAAGAUUACAUUUAACAUUAAGAUUGGUUCAGAACAUAAAAGUUCUUUUUGCACCGUGUUGGAAACUAUUGAAGUACUAUCUUCACAGCGUAACCCUCCGUACAUGCACUUCAUUGCUCCUCAAUUUUUCUGCCUUUCUCCAACACAAUACCUGAUACUGCCCUACUUUCUAUUCUCUUGUAUCCUUAUUUUUUCCUAAUUGAGAGAGAACAGUGAUGAUAAUUAAACAAUUGAGUGGAAACCAAUUCCUGCGAUAGUGCUAGAUGCUUAAUAGGUAACAUCUUCUGCUCGAGUUACUGAGACUUCACCUACUUUGAAGCUACUGAUCUCAAAGAAGCUUAAGGAAUAAUUAUGGAGGAGAUAAUUUUAGGUAAAAUUUGAAUUUAUAAGGAAAUGUUGUCCAGGAAAAUUAUAGGGUCCAUUUUUUACCAGGCUUGAGACAUAUUUGGUACAGAGAAUAUUAGGGAGUGGUUAGUCAGAAUGGCUGCUUUGGAAAAUGAAUUUAACUGUAAGAAGUCUGUUGAGUACAUAUAACAGUGGAAUAAAAUGGUGGUGGAGGUGAAAGAUCACUUCAUAUGAUACAUUUUGACUUCAAAUUUCUAGUCUCUGAGGAUUAAGAAGGUACCAGUGAAGAAAGGUUUGAUUUUCAAAGAGAAGCAGCCAAUGUCCCAUGACACCAUUAAUAAAAUAGAUAACACUUUAGAGUGUGCAAAGUUCAUUUAUUUUGAUUAUCUAAUUCAAAAGUGACACAACCUUAUGAGGUAACAAUUGCUAUACUUUAAUAAGGAAUGGAAACUAAGAGAAAUUAAGUAAGAUUUACCUUGGAUUUCCAAGGUAAUCCAAUAAGUGAGUCAAACCCAGGCUAUAGGUAAAGAAAUUGGCCACUCAGUACUACAAUAUGUAUGUUCACC
This 1832-nucleotide long non-coding RNA is filed under the name Homo sapiens (human). Its description in RNAcentral is "HSALNT0402859". The record is from RNAcentral. Lineage: Eukaryota; Metazoa; Chordata; Mammalia; Primates; Hominidae.